AUUGAACGCUGGCGGCAGGCUUAACACAUGCAAGUCGAGCGGUAGAAAGUAGCUUGCUACUUUUGAGAGCGGCGGACGGGUGAGUAAUGCGUGGGAAUCUACCUGGUAGUGGGGGACAACAGUUGGAAACGACUGCUAAUACCGCAUACGCCCUACGGGGAAAGCGGGGAGUCUUCGGACCUCGUGCUAUCAGAUGAGCCCGCGUGAGAUUAGCUAGUUGGUGGGGUAAAGGCCUACCAAGGCGACGAUCUCUAGCUGGUCUGAGAGGAUGAUCAGCCACACUGGGACUGAGACACGGCCCAGACUCCUACGGGAGGCAGCAGUGGGGAAUAUUGGACAAUGGGCGCAAGCCUGAUCCAGCCAUGCCGCGUGUGUGAAGAAGGCCUUGGUUGUAAGACACUUCUAGCGAGGAGGAAAGGUUAGGU
Molecule: ribosomal RNA, 425 nt
Filed under: uncultured bacterium
Lineage: Bacteria
Description: bacterial SSU rRNA
Rfam family: Bacterial small subunit ribosomal RNA
Source: RNAcentral